Molecule: ribosomal RNA, 497 nt
Filed under: uncultured bacterium
Lineage: Bacteria
Description: partial 16S ribosomal RNA
Rfam family: Bacterial small subunit ribosomal RNA
Source: RNAcentral
GAUGAACGCUGGCGGCGUGCCUAAUACAUGCAAGUCGAGCGAACAGACGAGGAGCUUGCUCCUCUGACGUUAGAGGCGGACGGGUGAGUAACACGUGGAUAACCUACCUAUAAGACUGGGAUAACUUCGGGAAACCGUAGCUAAUACCGGAUAAUAUAUUGAACCGCAUGGUUCAAUAGUGAAAGACGGUUUUGCUGUCACUUAUAGAUGGAUCCGCGCCGCAUGAGCUAGUUGGUAAGGUAACGGCUUACCAAGGCGACGAUGCGUAGCCGACCUGAGAGGGUGAUCGGCCACACUGGAACUGAGACACGGUCCAGACUCCGACGGGAGGCAGCAGUAGGGAAUCUUCCGCAAUGGGCGAAAGCCUGACGGAGCAACGCCGCGUGAGUGAUGAAGGUCUUCGGAUCGUAAAGCUCUGUUAUUAGGGAAGAACAAAUGUGUAAGUAACUAUGCACGUCUUGACGGUACCUAAUCAGAAAGCCACGGCUAACUACGUG